GCAUGGUGGUUCAGUGGUGGGAUUCUCACCUUCCAUGUGGGAGACCCGGCUUCAACUCCCGGCCAAUGCA
This 70-nucleotide transfer RNA is filed under the name Loxodonta africana (African savanna elephant). It matches the Rfam family "tRNA". Rfam says of the family: Transfer RNA (tRNA) molecules are approximately 80 nucleotides in length. Their secondary structure includes four short double-helical elements and three loops (D, anti-codon, and T loops). Further hydrogen bonds mediate the characteristic L-shaped molecular structure. tRNAs have two regions of fundamental functional importance: the anti-codon, which is responsible for specific mRNA codon recognition, and the 3' end, to which the tRNAs corresponding amino acid is attached (by aminoacyl-tRNA synthetases). tRNAs cope with the degeneracy of the genetic code in two manners: having more than one tRNA (with a specific anti-codon) for a particular amino acid; and 'wobble' base-pairing, i.e. permitting non-standard base-pairing at the 3rd anti-codon position. The record is from Rfam by way of RNAcentral. Lineage: Eukaryota; Metazoa; Chordata; Mammalia; Proboscidea; Elephantidae.